GUUGACCUCGGAUCAGGUAGGGAUACCCGCUGAACUUAAGCAUAUCAAUAAGCGGGAGGAAUG
This 63-nucleotide ribosomal RNA is filed under the name Septoria saposhnikoviae. Its description in RNAcentral is "partial 28S ribosomal RNA". The record is from RNAcentral. Lineage: Eukaryota; Fungi; Ascomycota; Dothideomycetes; Mycosphaerellales; Mycosphaerellaceae.